GCUAGCGGCGUGCCUAAGGUAUGCAAGUCGAACGGACCCGCAAGGGUUAGUGGCGAACGGUUGAGUAACACGUAGACAACCUGCCUCGAAGUGGGGGACAACAGCGGGAAACUGCUGCUAAUACCGCAUGUGGCCCUGUUUCACCUGGAACAGUGGCUAAAGGCGCAAGUCGCUUCGAGAUGGGUCUGCGGCCUAUCAGUUUGUUGGUGGGGUAACGGCCUACCAAGACGACGACGGGUAGCUGGUCUGAGAGGAUGAUCAGCCAGACGGGGACUGAGACACGGCCCCGACUCCUUCGGGAGGCAGCAAUGAGGAAUAUUGCGCAAUGGGCGAAAGCCUGACGCAGCGACGCCGCGUGGGUGAGGAAGUUCUUCGGAAUGUAAAGCCCUUUUGUCGGGGACGAUCACAGACGGUACCCGACGAAUAAGCCCCGGCUAACUACGUGCCAGCAGCCGCGGUAAUACGUAGGGGGCGAGCGUUGUCCGGAUUUACUGGGCGUAAAGAGCGCGUAGGCGGAAAUUUAAGCGUGGCCUGAAAGCCCCCGGCUCAACCGGGGAGUGCGGCUGCGAACUGGGUUUCUUGAGGACGAUAGAGGAGAGUGGAAUUCCUGGUGUAGCGGUGAAAUGCGUAGAUAUCAGGAGGAACACCCGAGGCGAAGGCGGCUCUCUGGGUCGUACCUGACGCUGAGGCGCGAAAGCGUGGGGAGCGAACGGGAUUAGAUACCCCGGUAGUCCACGCCGUAAACGAUGGUCACUAGGUGUGUGUGGUAUCGACCCCGCACGCGCCGCAGCUAACGCAAUAAGUGACCCGCCUGGGGAGUACGGCCGCAAGGUUGAAACUCAAAGGAAUUGACGGGGGCCCGCACAAGCGGUGGAGCAUGUGGAUUAAUACGUCACUAACCGUAGAACCUUACCCAGGCUUGACAUCUAGGGAAUCCCCCUGAAAGGGGGGAGUGCUCGCAAGAGAGCCCUAAGACAGGUGUUGCAUGGCUGUCGUCAGCUCG
Molecule: ribosomal RNA, 1003 nt
Filed under: uncultured bacterium
Lineage: Bacteria
Description: bacterial SSU rRNA
Rfam family: Bacterial small subunit ribosomal RNA
Source: RNAcentral